AUGCACGACUCCUGGCUGAAGGCGGCGACGGCGGGGGCAGGGAGCUUGGCCAUCGUGACCUGGGGAGAUUGGGAUUGCCGCACCAUACUCGAGUCAGAGUGCCGCUUCAAGGGGAUCGAGAAGCCGUCCUACUUCGAUCGCUGGAUCAACCUGAGGGUCCCCUUCCAGGCGGCGCUCGGCGGCGGAGGGCGGGUCACCCUUCAGGAGGCGGUCCGGGCGGCGGGACUGGACUGGGAGGGCCGCCUGCACUGUGGGUUGGACGACGCCCGCAACACGGCGCGGCUUCUUGUUGAGCUCAUGCUGCGUGGGGUCAAGAUGACCAUCACCGGCUCGCUGGCGCCAUCGCCGCCGAUCCAGCAGCAGCCGCAGCAGCUUCUCACAAGCCCUUGCGGUGCCUCAUCUGCGUUGGCGCCGCCGCCGCCGAUCCAGCAGAAGCAGCAGUCGCCGCAGCUUCGCACAAGCCCUUGCGGAGGCUCAUCGCCGCUGGCGCCGCUGCUGAUCCAGCAGCAGCAGCAGCCGCCGCAGCCUCACAUGAUAAUCCCCUGCGGUGGCUCGCCUGGGACGUGCUUCUGCUACUGCAGGGUACCGACCAGAGGAGGCGUGGUGUCCAUGCCAGGGCCGAUGCAGGGGAAGUGCUUCUUCGGGUGUGGCAACUGGACGCCGGCCAUGGGACCCGUCUGCCCCUACUUCGUAUGGGCCAACUGA
RNAcentral lists this ribosomal RNA (705 nucleotides) under Triticum aestivum (bread wheat). Its description in RNAcentral is "partial small subunit ribosomal RNA". Lineage: Eukaryota; Viridiplantae; Streptophyta; Magnoliopsida; Poales; Poaceae. The record is from RNAcentral.